Molecule: unclassified non-coding RNA, 161 nt
Filed under: uncultured Helotiales
Lineage: Eukaryota; Fungi; Ascomycota; Leotiomycetes; Helotiales
Description: sequence contains ITS1
Source: RNAcentral
AAGAGUAACGGGGGCUUCGGCCUACCAACUCCACCCUUUGUUUACAAUACCAUUGUUGCUUUGGCAGGCCCGUCGUAAGACGACCGGCUUCGGCUGGCCAGCGUCUGCCAGAGGACCUAAAACUCUGUUAAACAUAUUGUCCGAGUACUAUAUAAUAGUUA